UCCCGUAGAUAGACUCGCCUACAACUUUUGGUGAGUAAUGCCACCAAGGUAUAACAGUACGGCCUCUGAGAGGAGGGGCCCGGAGAUGGGUACUGAGACACGGACCCAGGCCCUAUGGGGCGCAGCAGGCGAGAAACCUUUGCAAUGUGCGAAAGCACGACAAGGUUAAUCCGAGUGUCUCCUGCUAAAGGAGUCUUUUGUCAGUUGUAGAAUCACUGGUGAAUAAGGGGCGGGCAAGUUCUGGUGUCAGCCGCCGCGGUAAAACCAGCACCUCGAGUGGUCAGGAGGUUUAUUGGGCCUAAAGCAUCCGUAGCCGGUUGCAUAAGUUUUCGGCUAAAUCUAUGCGCUUAACGUAUAGGCCGCCGAAAAUACUGUGCAGCUAGGGAGUGGGAGAGGUACACGGUACUCGAUAGGAAGGGGUAAAAUCCUUUGAUCUAUUGAAGACCACCUGUGGCGAAGGCGGUGUACCAGAACACGUUCGACGGUGAGGGAUGAAAGCUGGGGGAGCAAACCGGAUUAGAUACCCGGGUAGUCCCAGCUGUAAACGAUGCAGACUCGGUGAUGCAUUGGCUUGUGGCCAAUGCAGUGCCGCAGGGAAGCCGUUAAGUCUGCCGCCUGGGAAGUACGUACGCAAGUAUGAACUUAAAGGAAUUGGCGGGGGAGCACCACAAGGGAUGAGCCUGCGUUCAAUUGGAUCA
RNAcentral lists this ribosomal RNA (698 nucleotides) under uncultured archaeon. RNAcentral describes it as "bacterial SSU rRNA". It matches the Rfam family "Archaeal small subunit ribosomal RNA", at positions 201 to 913 of the family's 1478-position model. The record is from RNAcentral.